Long non-coding RNA from Glycine soja, 4087 nucleotides. RefSeq lists it as uncharacterized. The transcript has 8 exons. Lineage: Eukaryota; Viridiplantae; Streptophyta; Magnoliopsida; Fabales; Fabaceae. The record is from RefSeq and is a predicted model, not a curated record.
UUCAACAUAAACAUAAUUAUCAUAUACAGAAGAUAAUGUGUGAUCUCUAAAACAAAUACUAGUAUUUAGUAUUUACAUGAAGCCACAAGCCACGACCAUAUAUACUCUAGCCUGUAAUGAUCCUAAGACACCCUCCUAGUCCAUGUUACCAUCUAUAAUAUAACUCUAAUAAAAGAGAUGCCCAAUGAAAACCCUAUUAUACCCAUACCUAAAAUGUUGACACUUGGCACUUUUCUCGAUUUUUUUGGUCAUUUUGCCCCUCCAUUUUUUUCCUCUGUUGGUUCUCCCAAUUCUCCCACAUGUUUUGUUGUCCAACCUUCUCCGUUCAUGUCAUUGUAUACCUUUGUGUACCUGCAACACGCUUCCUCCCAUGUCCCAUCCAGAAAACCCCAUUCCACUUUUGUAUCAUUGUUUAUUUCUUCCUUCUUUAGUUUCCUUCGUUCUUCAGUUUCCCUCUGGUCAUCCUUUUUUUGCCACUUUGUUGUUGUGAAUGUUUGGUUGCAGAGUCAAGGUUUUACUUUUGUUAUGUUUUCUGUUAUGCAUGUUGUUCGUCGUAAGUUAUAGUUCUUUGUUUCGUGUAUUUGCUUCCUUACUGAUUUUUCCGCUUUGAUUUUGCUUCUUUACUGAUUUUUUUGCUUGCAAGGCUAUCCAGGAAGAAGCAUCCAGUAGGCAAGUUUUUAUUUUGUCUGUUGUCAUGCAUGUUUGCUUCGUAACUGAUAGCCUCACUUUGUUUGUUUCAGGUAGGGACACUUUUCACUUUGUUUGUUUCUGGUAGUGACGUUUUUCCACUGACAUUGACUCAUAUUUAUGCAUGUUUGCUUUCUUACUGAUUUUGUCACUUGCAACUGCAUCCAGGAAGCACCAUCCAGCAGGCAAGUUUUUUAUUUGUUUGUUUUCAUGCUUCAUAACUGAUAGCCUCACUUUGUUAGUUUCAGGUAGUGACACCUUUCACUUUGUUUGUUUCUGGUAGUGACACUUUUCCACUGACAUUGACUCAUAUUUAUGCAUGUUUGCUUUCUUACUGAUUUUGUCAGUUGCAACUGCAUCCAGGAAGAACCAUCCAAUAGGCAAGUUUUUUAUUUGUCUAUUGUCAUGCUUCAUAACUGAUAGCCUCACUUUGUUUGUUUCAGGUAGUGACGCUUUUCCACUAACAUUGACUCAUACUUAUUCAUGUUUGCUUUCUUAUUGAUUUUGUCACUUGCAACUGCAUCCAGGAAGAACCAUCCAGUAGGCAAGUUUUUUAUUUGUGUGUUGUCAUGCAUAUUUGCUUCAUAACUGAUAGCCUCACUUUGUUUGUUUCUGGUGGUGAUGCUUUUCCAUUUACAAGGUCAUCCCGGAAGAAGCAUACAUCAGGCAAGUUUUUAUUUUGUCUAUUGUCAUGCAUGUUUGCUUCGUAACUGAUACUCUGACUUUGUUUGUUGCCAGUGGUGAUGCUUUUCCAUUUACAAGGUCAUCCAGGAAGAAGCAUACAGAACUAUUUUUGUGUGCCUAAUACGAUAUUCUUUUCCUAUUAAAUAUUUUCUUCUUUGUUAUUUUGUUCGUUUUGCCAUUGACAUUCAUCAUUGAUAUUCAGUGCAGUUCUGACCAUAAAUGUUUUGGUCCAAAUCGUUUUUUACAUGUCUUAUUCAAUGUUUAGCAUGUACUUUAGUCUGUUUAUAAAAGUUUUUUGUGUUUUCCAAUCUGUUGCCUAAUGUUAUUCAACCUUUGUGUUGGUUGAUGACAAGAUCAGUUGAUUUAAAUUGUUCUUAAUAGCUGAGGAAUGUCAUUUGUUGUUUGAUCUCUAUUUUUCUUCUUUCUUUCCAUCAUUAUUGUUGUUUUUUUGUGUCAUCAUUGUGUUAGUUGUUGUCGUCUUAUCUGUUUGUUUUGUGGUCAAAAUUAUACAUUGUUGUUUCAGUUUUAUGCAGAAUUAUGGCUCGUAUUCCGGAUAAGAUAAAAGACAUCAAUGGAUCAAAAGAAACCCUUAAACUUGCUGUGAGGAUAACUGAUCUUUGGUUUGUUGGGACACCCGACAAGAUUGAACAAGCUGAGAUGGUUAUAGUGGACUCUGAUGUAUGAUUUUAUGUUGUGUUUGAUCCAUUAUUUAUCAUUCUAACAGUUUGUUAUAUACUUUGCCCAUGACCAGGGUGAUGAAAUCCAUGUUGUUUGUAAGCAAGAUCAGCUAAAGUCUUGGAAGAUGGAUUUGAAGGAAAAUUGUACUUAUGUCAUGCACAAUUUUAAAGUCAUCAAGAAUGAUGGUCAAUAUAGAGUUCGUGACCACCAAUAUUAAUUAGCAUUUACUAGAGUUACUGUUGUUAGGCAAUCUGAUUUGGAUGGUCUUCCUUUUAAAAAAUUCAAAUUUGCUGAAUUUGCCAAUGUCAUUGUUGGUCGCUUCCAACCUGGCCUGUUGGUUGACAUUAUUGGUGUCGUUGAUGAGGUGAUCUUCCGCCAUGUUUCCUCAAGGAGUACAAGGGUUGUUUUUAAACUGAAGGACUUGAGGUUAUGUUGUCCAAUUUACCCUUUCAUUUUUAAAAUUGGGUCCUAUCUUAUUAAUGGUUGACUCAAUUUAAUUUGCUUGCUUUGUAAUGUUAUGUCCAUGUUGGAUUAUUGUAGACUAAUACUGUCAUCAUUAUUUGUUUAUGAUAGUGACCAAUUGGUAUCUUGCACUCUCUAGGAAGAUUAUUGCUUGCAGUUUUAAGAGUACUUAAAUGAGCUUGAAAAUGAUGGCCCCACAAUUGUUCUGUUGACCCAUGCUAGAAUUAAAGAAGCCUAGGGAUCCUAUCCACCCUCAGUGAAUAAUUCUUUGAAGGCUUCAAAGUUACUUAUUAAUCAACCGAUGGUUGAAAUUCAAGAAUUCAAGCAGAGGCAUUGAGGUCCGGUCAGUUUUGACACCUCGUGGUCAAGGCAAUUCUCAAAUUUCAGGUUCUACCAAUUAUCAUCAAAGGAAAUUGUUUGUGUUACUAUUGGCACGAUUACCAGAAUUGUUAUGGAAAAUCAUUCAUGGUGUUAUCCAGCUUGCAUUCAGUGCCACAAAAAAACUGAUAUAAACACCGCUCCGUUCACAUGCGCAUGUGGCAAAUAUAAUGAGCGAGCUGUGCUAAGGUAUAGACUUGAGGUGAUGGUCAACCACAAGGAGGAAAGCACAAAAUUUCUACUCUGGGACCAUGAAUGUACUAACUUGAUUGGGCAAUCAGCUGAUGAAGUUAAUAGGCUAAAAAUAGCAGUAGGUCCCUGCAUUAUCAAACAUCACUGUUGAAUCUUUAAAUUAUGUUUUUUUUGUUUACUAUCCAAUCUCAGAACAGAUGUUUAGUGCACAAACUGAUUAUAUUUGCGCAAGGAUGGUGACAUUGAUUUAAAUGCUUCGCCAGAAGUGCUUGAUAAGUUGCUAGGUUAUGUGCUUGCCUUUAAAGUCAAGGUUCAACCAAAGUUCAGGAAUGUUGUUUUUCUGAAAUACUCAAGUGACUUAAGUUUGAUUAACACUGUGAUGGACUUACUGCCUGAUGCUGAGGCAUCUUCCAAGAUCCAUAUUCCAAUCCUUGAUUCCAAUGAUCCUCCCCAGCAUGAAUUUGCAUCUUUCAAGAUCCAUAUUCCAAUCCUCGAUUCCAAUGAUCCUCCCCAGCAUGAAUCUAUAAGAUGAAAUUAUGAUGCACACUUUUUAAUCUGAUAUUUGUUGCGUCUAUCCCAUUUUAAAACUGCACCAAUGUCAACUUUCAAUUCAACUUAUUAAUUGGUGUAUCUUUUAUGCAGCAAUCCCUAUCUGGAACAGCAGAUCAUGAUCCGCUUCUCGGACUCCCCUUAACAGCAGACAUCUCAGGAAUGUGAUGAAGAAGUAAGAAGCUCUCAGAUUUCACCCGGGCAACUUUCAUCUAACAAAUUAAGGAAACAUGCUAAAAUUGAAUGAAUGUGGUUACUUGGAAGUUUUCAAAAUCGCUUCUUAUUUUGACUGUUACUUGCAAGUUGUAAAAAAACUCUCAGAUUUACUUCUUUUCCUGUGGUAUCCCUGCCUGACAUUUAGUAAACAUUGCCAGAUGUUAUGGCUCUCCAAUGUGGGAUGUAAAGAUAACUUUAUAUUUUGCAACUCAUUUUGUAUUCGAAUGUUGUGCAAUUUAAA